RNAcentral lists this unclassified non-coding RNA (1872 nucleotides) under Anneissia japonica. RNAcentral describes it as "uncharacterized LOC117106134, transcript variant X2". Lineage: Eukaryota; Metazoa; Echinodermata; Crinoidea; Comatulida; Comatulidae. The record is from RNAcentral.
CAGAUCUUGUUUCUCAGCUUUAUAUGAUCUUUUUACAGCUUCAAUAGUAUCAUUAGGAAAGAGCACUGGCAAGGCACAAUGAUGUGCUUAUUUCCCUUUCCACUUUGAUACGCAAUCUUGUAGUGAUCAGCCAAUGCUUUAUCAAGUGGGUCAAGGUUUUUCAACUGUACUUGGUCUAAUCAAAUGCCAUUUUUAGCAUCCUUCCACUCUCUCAGCAAGAGACCACAAUCUUCGCUGCCUCUGCGUGCAUUAAAAAGUGUUAGGCGACACACAGCCAAAUCUUUCAAUUCUUUGAAGAGAUACAGCGAUGCCAACCGUCUCAUGUCAGUCAUUACAGACCGCCUACACAUCACCAAAGAACCUGAUGCGACUGAUCUUUCUCUCUGUUUUAAUUUCUGCUCUUCAUUCUCUGAAUCACUUCAGCAUAUGAGUGUGGGUCACCAAUGUUGUCAUCUUCAUUUGGAGAGAUGUCGCCUUCAUUUGGAGGGAUGUCAACUUUGAUGUGCCUUGGUCUAUAUAAUUUACAAUUAGGCUUCCUAAAGUCAUGGACCUAUAACAGUCCGAUAGAAGAAAGGUGGCCGAAUACAUGCGCCACAGCAUUACAACCCAAGUUCGUUACUACAACGCCCAGCAGAGGCAUCGUGAUGCUGUGGUUCCAAAGAAUUUAAUUCAUAGCAUCAAAAAUACAGAAAGUAUUACAUAAAAUUUUUAGAAAUAAGUUUUAUUUUUGCUUGAACAUUUUAUCCUACUAAUUCUUUUGUGCUUUUGAAGUUCAAGGUUGCAUGAUGUGCUAAUCUAUUUCUCUACACCAUUAAAACCUCGGUUUGUUAACAUACCUUGGGAUUUUGUAUCUUGGACAACGUUUCUAUGGUAACUGGAGUUUUUGAGUUGUGGAAAUAGGUGUGGCGCUAGUGAGGGGUAGUGGGGUCAAGUAAGACCACUACUCGUCGGGGAGAAAGAAAUUAUAUAAACACCCUGAUGCAGCAUUUAUUUUUCCCUCGAAUAAAGGCCCCCUAUAUGACUGAUAAAAAAAUCUAAUAGAAGCAACAUAAUUCUCAACAUAUUCAAUUCUCUAACCUGGUUGGGAUCAAUAUGUGAUUAUGAAUAUAUUUUCAAUGAUGUUUCAUGUUAUAUAAUCAGCAUCAUUAUUAGUGGAAAGAAUUGUUACAAAAAAUAAACCAUCUUUAUUCCGUUUUAGUCAAAUGAAGCCUCAUCUCUUGGAAACACUUUCAUGUCACAUCAUUUUGAAAUGCCUUUCAAACAAACAACUGCUGUCAUGUGUUUUUCAAAGAGGAUAUUUACUGUCUGAAAGAUGUGUUUCACAUUCCAGAUCAAGUUAAAACAUGUAUUUCCCGUCGAAGUUAGAUGGUACGACAGUUUUAUGCUGCAGGAGUCAGGCCUACUGGAUCAAUUGAUACAAACAAUGAAAUCAUGUGUAUUUAUGGAGACCCAGUCUACCCUAUAAUACCUCAGCUUAAGCACCAUUUAAAGGCAACCUGUCACCAAUAGAACAGGUCUACUACAAUAAGGCAAUGAGUGAAGUGCGUGUCUCUGGAAAAUGGUUAUUUGGGGACAUAUUAAAUUACUUUAAAUUCACAGAUUUUAAAAAAUCACAAAAUGUUGGAAUGAGUGACUAUUAAGUGAUAAAAUAAAUAAUAAUUAAUUUGGAAAUGUUAAGCGCAUAGAGUUCUAGAUAUGCGCUAUAUAAACAUACAAUAAUAACAAUAAUAAUAAUAGUGUGUGCAGUGGGGAAUAUGUACACAGAAGCACAUGUGAUUUCUUUGAACUCAAUCCUCCCGAAUUAGAUGAUUAUUUUCAGUGAAUUUUGUUUGUUGGUCUGUUGACACAAUAAAAGUUGAUAUCGGAUAUAAA